UUGAAUGGGCGAAAGCUCGAUCCAGUUAUACGCAGUGAGUGAUGAAGGUCUUCGGAUUGUAAAGCUCUUUUAGUGGAGAAGAUAAUGACGGUAUCCACAGAAAAAGCACCGGCAAACUUCGUGCCAGCAGCCGCGGUAAUACGAAGGGUGCUAGCGUUGUUCGGAAUUAUUGGGCGUAAAGCGUACGUAGGCGGUUUAGUAAGUCGAUUGUGAAAUACCCGAGCUCAACUUGGGAAUUGCAAUCGAAACUGCUUUGCUAGAGUUUAGUGGGGGAUAGUGGAAUUCCUAGUGUAGGGGUGAAAUCCGUAGAGAUUAGGAGGAACAUCAGUGGCGAAGGCGACUAUCUACUCUAACACUGACGCUAAGGUACGAAAGCGUGGGGAGCAAACAGGAUUAGAUACCCUGGUAGUCCACGCAGUAAACUAUGAGUGCUAGUUGUCGGGGUCUUAGAUUCCGGUGGCGAAGCUAACGCGUUAAGCACUCCGCCUGGGGACUACGGUCGCAAGACUAAAACUCAAAGGAAUUGACGGGGACCCGCACAAGCAGUGGAUCAUGUGGUUUAAUUCGAUGCUACACGAAAAACCUUACCAANCCUUGAAUCUGGAUGACCGGUACAGA
This 618-nucleotide ribosomal RNA is filed under the name uncultured bacterium. RNAcentral's name for it is "bacterial SSU rRNA". It matches the Rfam family "Bacterial small subunit ribosomal RNA", at positions 364 to 1004 of the family's 1533-position model. The record is from RNAcentral.